Molecule: unclassified non-coding RNA, 270 nt
Filed under: fungal sp.
Lineage: Eukaryota; Fungi
Description: partial internal transcribed spacer region
Rfam family: Eukaryotic small subunit ribosomal RNA (bases 1-46)
Source: RNAcentral
AAGUCGUAACAAGGUUUCCGUAGGUGAACCUGCGGAAGGAUCAUCAGUGAACACUUUUCACUAUUUUACACACCCCUUUUUGUGCAAAUUGGCGGUCUGAAGGUGUUUUGUUUGUGGUUGCCCUUCAUUGAAGGGGGGUCCGCAAACAAACACACUCUAAGGUGCCGCCCAUUUUUUUAACAACAACCCCUUUUAUCCCUUUUUUUUCAAAAACAUACCCAAUACAAAAAAACUAAAAGACAACUUUUAACAACGGAUCUCUUGGCUCUC